Molecule: long non-coding RNA, 733 nt
Organism: Poecilia latipinna (sailfin molly)
Lineage: Eukaryota; Metazoa; Chordata; Actinopteri; Cyprinodontiformes; Poeciliidae
Exons: 2
Source: RefSeq, a predicted model, not a curated record
UCUGAAUAAAUAGGAAUAAAUACUUGCCCAUGUUAAAAUCUGACAUAAAUAAGAAUAAAUAGCGGAUUAAAAGUCUGAACAGAGAAUAACGUCGCUGCCCCUUUAAGGAACCAGCGUCACAGACGCGACGCCUGGGUGACGCUGCGGUGCACAAACCAGAGGGAGAGAGCAGAGGAGGAAUCGGAGGAAAAGAGCAGUUGAUUGAUUAACGGAAAAAAAGUUAAUAUUAUAGUUAAGAAGACAUAAUUUACCUGGUCGGAAACUGACGGGGAUUUUAUGAGAACUAAGUUACAUCGGUUUUGGUCAGGUUUUUUUGUUCGGUUGGAAGCUCGGUCGGAGCGAAGAUUGGUCUGCCGUGUGCGACGUCCACAUUCACAGACGGGAUUCAAGAUGGCGAGCCAGACCUAGACCUUCAAUUCAUCUUCUCCAUCAUAUCAGGGAGGGACUCUCCUGCGUAUGAUAAUUCGCUGCCGGAGCGGUAGGAACUUCAGGAACUAGUUCAAACCGAACUGGACAGGAUUAAGAACUGAUUUAAGAACUGGUGAAAUUAUUAUUAUUUUUCUGGACUGAAUCAAAACUGAAGCUUUUCAUUGAACUGAGAACCUGAACUCACAUUUGGACUUGAACUUGAGUUUAAAGUGUCAUACUUAAAUUUUCAUAUGUUAUGUCUCUGAAUGUGAAUUGAAUAAUUGUGGUCCACUUUGAUUUGUUUGAGGGUAUUUCCUUACCUGUG